GGGAACGGGGCUGACUGGCCCCGGAACCUCCAAGGUGCGACCUCAGCAAAACAAGUCCCCUUCUCACCCGAGGCGACGCGGCGGGUCAUUCCGGACUCCUGCCGCAGCCAGUCCCUCGGUGAGACGGGAGCGCCAUUGGCGUCCGUGGCCCCUGUUUCCGUGGCAACCCAGUAACCAUUAAUUUUCAAUUAAAGGAGACAAAAAGCUCCAUGACAGCUCCAGGUCUGCCGAAGAUGUCAAGAAUCUGUAUUAAUAUACAGCAAGAGAGCAUAAUUGUGUGUCCAUCUUCCAGAGCAGCGAAAAAUGGAGGGAUAAUUACCAGCUCGAAAGCCACUCUGUAAUUUACUUCUUACUGUCACCACAGCCCUACACAUUAGCAUAAAUUAAAAGCAGAGUUUAUUGUUAUCAAAGUGCA
This is a non-coding RNA of Leptonychotes weddellii (Weddell seal), 415 nucleotides long. NCBI's taxonomy places the organism in Eukaryota, Metazoa, Chordata, Mammalia, Carnivora, Phocidae. The record is from RefSeq and is a predicted model, not a curated record.